Molecule: long non-coding RNA, 1036 nt
Organism: Cucumis sativus (cucumber)
Lineage: Eukaryota; Viridiplantae; Streptophyta; Magnoliopsida; Cucurbitales; Cucurbitaceae
Exons: 2
Source: RefSeq, a predicted model, not a curated record
GAUGAUUGAGAUUCCCACAUCGGGGAAGCUUUUGGCAGGGAACUCAAACUGUAAUAUAAAUAUGAACGAUGGCUAACAUUUAAACAUACUUACCUGGACGGGGUCAAUGGGCGAUCAAGAAGAUCCAUGGCCUAGGUUGGUGACCUCCAUUGCACAUACCGGAGGGGUGCCCGCCUAAGGUCUGCCCAAAGUGGCAGAGCCUACGUCAUAAUUUGUGGUUGCGGGGGCCUGCGUUCGCGCGGCCCCUUCCCAAUUCUCCAGUUUCAACUCUUCAAUCUUCCAGCUCAAAGUCCAAGCACGAACGAUAAUUUCCAUUCAUGUGAGAGUUCGAGGCUUUGAGACUGAUUCAUAAAUUUGGAAGGCUCCUUACUAAUAAAAAUGGAUUUUUCACCUUAAUCUAAGAUUUAGGUGUUUUUUGGGUUCUACUCAGAAUAUCCAAAUCCCCUUAAGCUAAGAGCCAGAUCCUUCAUGGCAUAACUUUCUGCAUUUAGGUUGAUACCAGUGGUAUGGUUGCUUUAUUCAGGCGGGGUGAUUCUUUUUUGUGGUUAUCGAACUUCUGAUCCUUGAUUGAGAUGGAAUCUAUUUUCCCCAAAAUCAGGUGAAGUGGAAAGUAUGAAAGACUUGAUAUUCUAGUAGCCGUGGAAGUUCUAUGUUCUAACAUCUAUCGGAAUUUUUAAAAUUCUCAAUGUCAAUGAAAAUGUUCUUGAGUCUCACUUUUACGAAAACGCCAAUGGAAGUGUUAAUAUCCAGUUAUAUUCAAUUUUACGAAAAUGUAAAUGGAAGUAUCAAUAAAAUGUUCCGUUGAUUUAAAAUGUAAAUCAGAAAAUAAUUUUUUUGUAAGUAAAGUUAAAGGCUUAAAAUAUAAAGUUCGUAUCAAUUUUUCAUUUUGGUGUACAUAAUUUGUUGCCACAAAGUUAGGGUCCGUUUCUAAUGUCCAUAAAUUUACUUUGCGACUCCAAUAGUCUUUUGUCUAUUGAGCCUCAAUGCUCUCAAGUGAGAUAAUGUAACUUAUUGGAAUGGAUCCAAGUUGGGAGAA